GGGCGAGUGUCGGAACCGGCAGACGAGGCGGACUUAAAAUCCGCUGGGGUGACACCCCGUGAGGGAUCGAAGCCCUCCUCGCCCACCA
RNAcentral lists this transfer RNA (88 nucleotides) under Candidatus Segetimicrobium genomatis. RNAcentral's name for it is "Terrabacteria group bacterium ANGP1 tRNA-Leu". It matches the Rfam family "tRNA". Rfam says of the family: Transfer RNA (tRNA) molecules are approximately 80 nucleotides in length. Lineage: Bacteria; Bacillati; Candidatus Sysuimicrobiota; Candidatus Sysuimicrobiia; Candidatus Sysuimicrobiales; Candidatus Segetimicrobiaceae. The record is from RNAcentral.